This 480-nucleotide ribosomal RNA is filed under the name uncultured bacterium. RNAcentral describes it as "bacterial SSU rRNA". It matches the Rfam family "Bacterial small subunit ribosomal RNA", at positions 36 to 507 of the family's 1533-position model. The record is from RNAcentral.
CUGGCGGCAUGCUUUACACAUGCAAGUCGAACGGCAGCACAGGGAGCUUGCUCCCGGGUGGCGAGUGGCGCACGGGUGAGUAAUACAUCGGAACGUGUCCUGUUGUGGGGGAUAACUGCUCGAAAGGGUGGCUAAUACCGCAUGAGACCUGAGGGUGAAAGCGGGGGAUCGCAAGACCUCGCGCAAUUGGAGCGGCCGAUGCCCGAUUAGCUAGUUGGUGAGGUAAAGGUUCACCAAGGCGACGAUCGGUAGCUGGUCUGAGAGGACGACCAGCCACACUGGGACUGAGACACGGCCCAGACUCCUACGGGAGGCAGCAGUGGGGAAUUUUGCACAAUGGGCGCAAGCCUGAUGCAGCCAUGCCGCGUGUGUGAAGAAGGCCUUCGGGUUGUAAAGCACUUUCAGCGGGGAGGAAGGCGUUAAGGUUAAUAACCUUGGCGAUUGACGUUACCCGCAGAAGAAGCACCGGCUAACUCCGUG